Molecule: unclassified non-coding RNA, 221 nt
Filed under: Hevea brasiliensis (rubber tree)
Lineage: Eukaryota; Viridiplantae; Streptophyta; Magnoliopsida; Malpighiales; Euphorbiaceae
Source: RNAcentral
GGAAACUAGAAUUUUACAAGAAUUAAAUUCAAUUAAACUCUUUUUUUUUGUUAUCAAUUCUCAUGAUUGGAAAUCUAAUGGCUUCACUUUGGAAUAAAUCAUUUAUAAGAGAAUGCAUAAUCAGGCUUGAUUUCUUUUUAUUUUAAAAUGAAUUUUUUUUAUGUUAAAAAUAAUUCAUUUUUUUAAUUCCAAACAUUAGAAUUGAUUAAAAAGAAAUCAAU